RNAcentral lists this ribosomal RNA (549 nucleotides) under Bifidobacterium longum subsp. suillum. RNAcentral describes it as "bacterial SSU rRNA". It matches the Rfam family "Bacterial small subunit ribosomal RNA", at positions 146 to 710 of the family's 1533-position model. Lineage: Bacteria; Bacillati; Actinomycetota; Actinomycetes; Bifidobacteriales; Bifidobacteriaceae. The record is from RNAcentral.
UCUCCUGGAAACGGGUGGUAAUGCCGGAUGCUCCAACUUUCCGCAUGGUUUGUUGGGAAAGCUUUCGCGGUAUGGGAUGGGGUCGCGUCCUAUCAGCUUGACGGCGGGGUAACGGCCCACCGUGGCUUCGACGGGUAGCCGGCCUGAGAGGGCGACCGGCCACAUUGGGACUGAGAUACGGCCCAGACUCCUACGGGAGGCAGCAGUGGGGAAUAUUGCACAAUGGGCGCAAGCCUGAUGCAGCGACGCCGCGUGAGGGAUGGAGGCCUUCGGGUUGUAAACCUCUUUUAUCGGGGAGCAAGCGAGAGUGAGUUUACCCGUUGAAUAAGCACCGGCUAACUACGUGCCAGCAGCCGCGGUAAUACGUAGGGUGCAAGCGUUAUCCGGAAUUAUUGGGCGUAAAGGGCUCGUAGGCGGUUCGUCGCGUCCGGUGUGAAAGUCCAUCGCUUAACGGUGGAUCCGCGCCGGGUACGGGCGGGCUUGAGUGCGGUAGGGGAGACUGGAAUUCCCGGUGUAACGGUGGAAUGUGUAGAUAUCGGGAAGAACACC